This 4557-nucleotide long non-coding RNA is filed under the name Sus scrofa (pig). RNAcentral describes it as "lncRNA (ENSSSCG00005007256.1)". Lineage: Eukaryota; Metazoa; Chordata; Mammalia; Artiodactyla; Suidae. The record is from RNAcentral.
UGUGACAGCGACAGUGACCAAGAAGAGAAGGUAAGCCCCCCCUCGUCCCCACACUGUGGGCGCAGUACAUAAACAGCGUGAAGCCCGGGGUCUCCCUCGCACAGCCGCAGGGGGUGGGGGGCCAGCUUCGUGUUAACAGCACCUCCUGUCUGCAAAGAAGGGCUUUAUUUACACAGUAAUGUCUCCAGUAAUAAGAAAGAACACACUUAAUUUGUGAGGCCCACUUUUCAAAAAGAAGCCCUUUAAUACUGGGUAUAUGUGACACUAAGUUUGCACUUUAUAGAAGGUUUUAAAAGAGGAAAUUAUUUUAAUAGCCAUCUGACUUUUCUUAUUUAAUCCUGGGUUGGAACAUUCAGCCUGCUAGUGUGCAUUUAUGAUGUCACUCCCUCGUUCUUUUUCCUGACCCGUUUGCUUGUUCCUGCUUUUCUGUAUAUAUCAGCCUUCUUGAUAGAAAUGUCAACGGGACGUUCCUGGGUGUGUCUUCAGGGGGAGAGGGGGCGGGGCAUAUCGGUGGGAACCGCCCCCUUCUCGUCCAGGGGCUGGUCAGGUGGGAGGGCGGUUCUUCCAGCAGGCACAUGCCCUGUUUCGAGGCUGAUGGCCACCAGCCUCGGUGUAUCCAGCUCGACGCGGAUCAAGAAAAGGAGCUCAGUUUCUGAGCUUCCAGAAGAUCGGAUCACAACCUGGUAACGUGCACGCUCUGCUGCCUGAGGCUAAGGGAUUGUCUGUUUGCUCUUUCCUUCCAGCUGUCCCAACCACCAACCAGAUUUCUUUGCAAUUUUAUUCCCACUCUAUAUGUUUUGAACAGUUCCCUGAAUAUCAUGGUUUCUGUACUGCUGAGCAUCCUAAGGAAGGGACUAAUCCUCCCUUCCCCAGUUUCAGCAGAGCUGGCUUCCCUGAGCCCUGGUCCCUGACUCUCGCCUCCUACAUGCUCACGGAUUUUACUCAGAAUCCUGCGGUUGGUAUUCGGUGGACUCUCUGCGUCGAGCCCAGAAUUUUCCCUGCUUCUCUGCCGCCAGCCUCCAAGAGAGAUCUAAAGGCUCUUGUUCUGUGCUGUCGUUAAUUUGAAUUCAGCAUAUGUAGCCCGUUAUAAAAUGCGAGACAUCAUCAUUUGAGCAGGUCAAGCAUAUUCAGAUGAAGACAAAUGGUGCUUAUUUGAUUUCCUUAAAAUCAGGAAAUGAAAAAAGUGCUCUCUGGAGAAAUCAUGUUCUGCCCGCCUUGGAUGAUAGACCAAUGCAUGUCCCCCAGAUAAGAACAGGCUCUCGCCUUGAGGUUUUUAUCUCUGAAGGACGGCUAGGACUGUCAGCUUGCUGACAUGUGCAUUAUCCAUGUCACUUUAAACAAAGUGACCUAUGGAAGGGUGCGCUGUGCUGUGACAUGGUAAUGGGCUGUUGGAUGACAGUGAAAGUACACACUGGAAAGGGGGCUGUGGAUUCUUCUUUUGUUUAACUGACAAGUGGGAGCUUCGUUCCUCCAGUCCCCGGGGAGUCCUAGCUCCUUGGAAGUCAGGCCCAUGGUGUCUCAGGCAGCCGGUGUGUAGCCGGUGCCUGGGCGCCCGGGCAGCGGUAGGGCUUCGGUGAUCUGGCGAGCCCGCUGGCCCCCGAGGCCAUCCAGGCCACAUCCCACGUGGCAGCCCUUAUCUCGUUCUGUCGGGCAUCCCGAGCACCCAGGGAGGGGCUGGCACUCCUGGCUGCUCCAGGAGAUCUUUUACAGAUGAUGGUCCCUCUCACUGGCCAGGUGGGUGGCCCUUCUCCAAGGGGCUGAGGCUUCCUUGGGGUUUCCCAGCCCAGUAGACAUUCUUUCUUGAAAGGCGGUGUGAGUUCAGAAGUGUCACAGUCUCUAACAGCAGCAGAAGGUGGCAAGGACAAGACGUCCAGUUUUAGGUUCAUGUGGGUGUCUUGAUCAGCCAUCUCAACCUAGACGGUGCUUCGGAAGCCCCCCGGGAGCUGUCCAAGUCCCAGACCCUGUCCCAGGCCAGUUGCUGCAGACUCUCCGAGGGUGUCUAGCUCCCUUGUCUAGAGGGCCACCUAACUGGGAACCUCUAGAAUCAUCAGCACUGCCUGUGUGCGGUCUGAAGGCCAAGGUGUUUCUUCCUGCAUCCGGAGAGCACUCCUGCUUGUCGUUUGCGGGGGGCCCUGAAUCCCCGAGUCUUUGCCGCUGGGUUUCCAUCUCCCAGUGUGGGAAGCAGCCAAGUAUUUACCCAGAAGAGCGGGCAGUGAGAACAGAGCCAGCACCCUCUGCUCUGAGUUCGGGGUGAUUUCGGGACAAGGAAGGAGAAUGAGGCGAUGUCUGUAGGCACGUCCACAGGAGGGGCGACAACGGGGCACAGAGGGCCAUCGGGGGCGUCCAUCUGACAGGCGUGCCCCUCCUGCCUCGGCUGCCCAGGCGCCUUGCCCUUGAGCUGUGGUGGCCCUGUAGGUCUUCUUCACCCGGAGCUGCCCUGCCACCCAGCUUUUCCCCAGAGGGCUCCAGAAGAGUCAUAAGGACUCUGUGAUUGUCGUGGUGCCUGCCUGGCCCAGUUAGAGUUAAGACAGUCAGGCUUCCCCCUUGGACUGGGAGUGUCUGGUGUUUAUCACCGACUUUCACACCAUCCUCCCAGACUUUCCGCUCGGUGCCCAAGCCUGGGCCCCUGUCAGCCUCCUCUGUGCCAGGGCCUCUUGCCUGGGCCCCCCUCAGAGCCCCAGAGCCAACUGAGGCUGCUUUCAUGUGCUGCUUGGAGGACUCGCAUUCAAAUCUGAAUUGCUAAUGGUGGCAAAGAUGCCACUCAGUGUCCUGGGAUCCCUUCAGCAGCCCCACCAGGGAUGCUGUCGGAGGCAAGAGUGAGACUCGUAGGGGACCCACUGGGAUUUCUCUCCGGAAGACCUGUCAUUCUCUUUCUCCGUAGGGAUCUGCAGAGCUGGCGGUCUAAAAUUAGGGUACUGUAUUUCACACAGCUGACUGAAUUAAGAUAAACUCUGCUUUCCUCUGAUCUGAAGUGGCAAUUUAUAAAAUGAUACCCUUACUAAUUAAUGUGGAAGUGACUGGGAAAGGGGCUAGAAGAGAAGCGCUCUCCAUAAAUGCAGGAUUCCAUCUUAUACAUGGAAAAGGCUUUGAUGAGACCCUGAGCACAGCAUCUCUUGGCCUCCCCUCCCAGCCACGUGAAUAUAUUUCCCAUUCAUGUCAGGGGACCUGGAGGACUUUUGUGAAGAGCAGAAAUUGGGUGGGGGGUUAGAGAAGGCUGGGCACACUGCAUCUGAGAUUUAGGAUCAUUCUUCAUUGCAGUUGGUGCAAAGAAAAGAGGCAGCACUUAGCACCUUAAUCACCCAAAGUAAGCAGCUAUUCCGAUCCCCCCUCAGAGUGAACCGAUAGCAUGAGAACAAAGAGGCAGCAGGCGUAGUUCCACAUAUCUGGCCUGUACUUUCUAGUUUGCUCUCUUUCUCUACCACUGGCAGCCACGCAUUGUGCUAAGAGACACCCCCUGUUUGGUUAUGAAAUCAAGGUUAAAAGUCGUUCUUUUUCCACUUACUCACUUCCUGUGUAACUUGUGGACCAUGUGAUGGAGUUUGUUGGAAGGCGUCGGGCCCACUGGUCAAGCACCUGGGCCUCCGGGCCUCCGGGCCUCCAGGUCCAGCUCGGGCCAUCUUUUAUUCCUCUAGAGCCGUGGAGAAGCCUCGGUCCUCAUAUCUGAGAAACGGGGGUAACAACAGCCCCCCCAACAGUUCUAAAACAAUUAAAUUGACUCCGUGCCUGGUCUGUAGUCAGUGUUUGCUACGUGUUAACUUUCAUUCGUUUUCCUUGGAGCCAAGUAAGAGCCUCACUUGGGAGAGGAGGAAGCUAUCCUUCUCUUCCGAAAGCUCAGAAUCGGCCAGAAAACCUGCCAAAGGAUAAGAGGUGUAAUUUUUUUUCCCCCACUGGAACCCAAGGCUCAGCUUUCAUCCCCUAGGGCGCUUCUUCCUGACAGAGGCUGAAUGGAAGUGCUGUGAGGUUUGGAAGAGUCCCGGAACCAUGAUGUUUAUUCCUUAUCCCAAACAUCAAGCUUUUCCUUCAGGCAUAACCUGGAGCCAAGAGCAAGCCUGCUGUCCUGGAGGGUCAGACGGUGAUGGAGUGGAUUGCAGAGCCCUCAUCCCAUGUGCCAAAUACUGUCGUUCCCAGACACCCAUCACAGGAGAGAGGGUCUGAUUCAGAACAUCUGGGGUAGGGCCACAGCAUCCGUAUUGUUUUAGAAACUUCCUAGAAAAUUUUCGUACCACUCGUUUUGAGAACUACUGCCUUAUAACAAAUGUCAGAGAGAAGCAUUUGCCUUCCUCCUGUUUAAUGCUUUAAAAAUUUUAACAGCUGGGAGUUCCCAUCAUGGCUCAGCGGAAACAAAUCUGACUAGGAACCAUGAGGUUGCAGGUUCAAUCCCUGGCCCUGCUCAGUGGGUUAAGGACCCAGCAUUACCGUGAACUAGGCUUGGAUCUGGUGUUGCCAUAGCUGUGGAGUAGGCUGGCAGCUGCAUCUCCAGUCUGACCCCUGUUGGUUCCCAGGCUAAGGGAACCUCCAUAUGCUGCAAGCAUGGCCCUAGACAGACAAAAAAAAAAA